CUUAAGAUAGUUUAAAACAAAAACGAAGAAUUGUGGGUUCUUAAAUGGUACACACCUCUUAAGA
RNAcentral lists this transfer RNA (64 nucleotides) under Ibidoecus plataleae. Its description in RNAcentral is "tRNA-His". Lineage: Eukaryota; Metazoa; Arthropoda; Insecta; Psocodea; Philopteridae. The record is from RNAcentral.